GGCUGUGGUUCAGUGGCAGAGUGCUUGCCUAGCAUGUACAAAGGACUGGGUUCGAUUCUCAGCACCA
Molecule: transfer RNA, 67 nt
Filed under: Marmota monax (woodchuck)
Lineage: Eukaryota; Metazoa; Chordata; Mammalia; Rodentia; Sciuridae
Description: tRNA.Ala
Source: RNAcentral